Molecule: transfer RNA, 66 nt
Filed under: Antilochus coquebertii
Lineage: Eukaryota; Metazoa; Arthropoda; Insecta; Hemiptera; Pyrrhocoridae
Description: tRNA-Tyr
Source: RNAcentral
GAUAAGAUGGCUGAGAUUAAUAGGUUAUAAAUUGUAAAUUUAUAUAGGGUAGUUUACCUCUUAUCA